This 560-nucleotide ribosomal RNA is filed under the name uncultured bacterium. RNAcentral describes it as "partial 16S ribosomal RNA". It matches the Rfam family "Bacterial small subunit ribosomal RNA", at positions 355 to 937 of the family's 1533-position model. The record is from RNAcentral.
UGGGGAAUAUUGGACAAUGGGCGCAAGCCUGAUCCAGCAAUGCCGCGUGAGUGAUGAAGGCCUUAGGGUUGUAAAGCUCUUUCGCACGCGACGAUGAUGACGGUAGCGUGAGAGGAAGCCCCGGCUAACUUCGUGCCAGCAGCCGCGGUAAUACGAAGGGGGCUAGCGUUGUUCGGAAUUACUGGGCGUAAAGGGCGCGUAGGCGGCCUGUUUAGUCAGAAGUGAAAGCCCCGGGCUCAACCUGGGAAUAGCUUUUGAUACUGGCAGGCUUGAGUUCCGGAGAGGAUGGUGGAAUUCCCAGUGUAGAGGUGAAAUUCGUAGAUAUUGGGAAGAACACCGGUGGCGAAGGCGGGCCAUCUGGACGGACACUGACGCUGAGGCGCGAAAAGCGUGGGGAGCAAACAGAUUAGAUACCCUGGUAGUCCACGCCGUAAACGNUGAAUGCUAGACGUCGGGGUGCAUNCACUUCGGUGUCGCCGCUAACGCAUUAAGCAUUCCGCCUGGGGAGUACGGCCGCAAGGUUAAAACUUAAAGGAAUUGACGGGGUCAUAGCUGUUUCC